RNAcentral lists this ribosomal RNA (206 nucleotides) under uncultured bacterium. Its description in RNAcentral is "partial 16S ribosomal RNA". It matches the Rfam family "Bacterial small subunit ribosomal RNA", at positions 292 to 515 of the family's 1533-position model. The record is from RNAcentral.
CUGAGAGGUUGAACGGCCACAUUGGGACUGAGACACGGCCCAGACUCCUACGGGAGGCAGCAGUGGGGAAUAUUGCACAAUGGGGGAAACCCUGAUGCAGCGACGCCGCGUGAGCGAAGAAGUAUUUCGGGAUGUAAAGCUCUAUCAGCAGGGAAGAUAAUGACGGUACCUGACUAAGAAGCACCAGCUAAAUACGUGCCAGCCGC